GGAAGUGUCUUUCUCUGUCAACAUGAAAUAGAUUUUCCCUUCUGUAGCUUGCUUGGCACCAUUUUCCCUGCUCGUGGGUGGAAGCAUCGGCCAGGGACCCACCUGCCUGAUAAUUUCAGAGUUCAUCUUCCUGUUGGCCUUUGAUGUACCCUGGGAACAUGGCUUCCUAGUUUCUACACAUACCCUCACCUGGAUCCCAGCCUCACACCAUGGAGAAGUGGCUCUAUGGCAGUCCAAGGAAUUCUUCCUGUGAUCCGAGUGGGGUUGCAGGCUGCCCAUUGGAUAGAUGUCUCCAGAGCAUCCUUACAUUUCCGUCGCUUGCUUUGCAGACAUGAGAUCCUGAGUUUAUCCCUAGGACCCACGUAAAAAGCUGGGUCCGAUAAUGUGUGUUUAUAAUAACAGCCCUGAGGAGGCAGAGACAGGGGGAUCCCCAGGUCCUGGCCACCCAGCUGAAGUCAACCAGUGAAUUCUAGGCCAGUGAGGG
Molecule: long non-coding RNA, 484 nt
Filed under: Mus pahari (shrew mouse)
Lineage: Eukaryota; Metazoa; Chordata; Mammalia; Rodentia; Muridae
Description: lncRNA (MGP_PahariEiJ_G0005357.1)
Source: RNAcentral